AUGACGGGUAUUCUUGGGUAUAUAAUACAGAUGGCGUUGUUAUUGCUUGAGAAUACGCGUAGU
This 63-nucleotide microRNA precursor is filed under the name Podarcis lilfordi (Lilford's wall lizard). It matches the Rfam family "mir-137 microRNA precursor family", at positions 5 to 68 of the family's 72-position model. Lineage: Eukaryota; Metazoa; Chordata; Lepidosauria; Squamata; Lacertidae. The record is from RNAcentral.